GCCUUCUUAGCUCAAUUGGUAGAGCAACUGAUUUGUAAUCAGUAGGUUGCUGGUUCGAUUCCGGUAGAAGGCU
This 73-nucleotide transfer RNA is filed under the name Bacteroides sp. RNAcentral's name for it is "tRNA-Thr". It matches the Rfam family "tRNA". Rfam says of the family: Transfer RNA (tRNA) molecules are approximately 80 nucleotides in length. Lineage: Bacteria; Pseudomonadati; Bacteroidota; Bacteroidia; Bacteroidales; Bacteroidaceae. The record is from RNAcentral.